This 293-nucleotide long non-coding RNA is filed under the name Sorghum bicolor (sorghum). RNAcentral's name for it is "long non-coding RNA (SBIC_LNC012027)". Lineage: Eukaryota; Viridiplantae; Streptophyta; Magnoliopsida; Poales; Poaceae. The record is from RNAcentral.
AACCAGAAUUUAUAGAAAGAUUAAGAGAUUCCCUAGGUGUGGCUAAAAGUGCAUUAUCGUCUUGAUUAAAAGAUAGGACCUCAGCUAUAGAAAAGGGUUGGUUUUGACCUAUUGCAAUCAACUCCGGACACAGAUCAUAAUUAGGGGCAGGACGUGUUGACUCCCAUGGUCUAUGGCUGGUCUCCGAAGGUGCAAAGAGUUUAAUAAUAGGUAUGGAAUUUGAGUUAUCCAUAAAGAUAAAAAUAAAAAGAUAAAACAAUAAAAGUAUAAAAGUAUAAUUCAAGAUAAUAGCA